RNAcentral lists this ribosomal RNA (253 nucleotides) under uncultured bacterium. Its description in RNAcentral is "partial 16S ribosomal RNA". It matches the Rfam family "Bacterial small subunit ribosomal RNA", at positions 524 to 776 of the family's 1533-position model. The record is from RNAcentral.
UACGGAGGGUGCUAGCGUUGUUCGGAAUUACUGGGCGUAAAGCGCGUGUAGGCGGCCCGCUAAGUCUGAUGUGAAAGCCCGGGGCUCACCCCCGGAAGUGCAUUGGAGACUGGCGGGCUAGAGUCCCGGAGAGGAGGGUGGAAUUCCUGGUGUAGCGGUGAAAUGCGUAGAUAUCAGGAGGAACACCGGUGGCGAAGGCGGGUCUCUGGGCCGAUACUGACGCUGAGGAGCGAAAGCGUGGGGAGCAAACAGG